UGUGACCUCAAAUCAGGUAGGACUACCCGCUGAACUUAAGCAUAUCAAUAAGCGGAGGAAAAGAAACUAACAAGGAUUCCCCUAGUAACUGCGAGUGAAGCGGGAAAAGCUCAAAUUUAAAAUCUGGCAGUCUUUGGCUGUCCGAGUUGUAAUCUAGAGAAGUGUUAUCCGCGCUGGACCGUGUACAAGUCUCCUGGAAUGGAGCAUCAUAGAGGGUGAGAAUCCCGUCUUUGACAUGGACUGCCAGGGCUUUGUGAUGCGCUCUCAAAGAGUCGAGUUGUUUGGGAAUGCAGCUCAAAAUGGGUGGUAAAUUCCAUCUAAAGCUAAAUAUUGGCGAGAGACCGAUAGCGAACAAGUACCGUGAGGGAAAGAUGAAAAGAACUUUGGAAAGAGAGUUAAACAGUACGUGAAAUUGCUGAAAGGGAAACGCUUGAAGUCAGUCGCGUCGUCCAGGGAUCAACCUUGCUUUUGCUUGGUGCACUUUCUGGUUCGAUGGGUCAGCAUCAAUUUUGACUGUUGGAAAAAGGUCAAGGGAAUGUGGCAUCUUUGGAUGUGUUAUAGCCCUUGGUCACAUACAAUGGUUGGGAUUGAGGAACUCAGCACGCCGCAAGGCCGGGUUUUAAACCACGUACGUGCUUAGGAUGCUGGCAAUAUGGCUUUAAUCGACCCGUCUUGAAACACGGACCAAGGAGUCUAACAUGCCUGCGAGUGUUUGGGUGGAAAACCCGAGCGCGUAAUGAAAGUGAAAAGUUGAGAUCCCUGUCGUGGGGAGCAUCGACGCCCGGACCAGACCUUUUGUGACGGUUCCGCGGUAGAGCAUGUAUGUUGGGACCCGAAAGAUGGUGAACUAUGCCUGAAUAGGGUGAAUCCAGAGGAAACUCUGGUGGAGGCUCGUAGCGAUUCUGACGUGCAAAUCGAUCGUCAAAUUUGGGUAUAGGGGCGAAAGACUA
This 950-nucleotide ribosomal RNA is filed under the name Cortinarius biformis. RNAcentral describes it as "eukaryotic LSU rRNA". It matches the Rfam family "Eukaryotic large subunit ribosomal RNA", at positions 1 to 933 of the family's 3401-position model. The record is from RNAcentral. Lineage: Eukaryota; Fungi; Basidiomycota; Agaricomycetes; Agaricales; Cortinariaceae.